Non-coding RNA from Myotis lucifugus (little brown bat), 75 nucleotides. The record is from Rfam. Lineage: Eukaryota; Metazoa; Chordata; Mammalia; Chiroptera; Vespertilionidae.
GGCGGUUCUCAGGUGACGCACCCUGGAAUUGGGCUCCCUCCUCUCUGGUUCCGGGUGCAUCACCUGAGAACCACA